RNAcentral lists this ribosomal RNA (1022 nucleotides) under Mesobacillus thioparans. RNAcentral's name for it is "bacterial SSU rRNA". It matches the Rfam family "Bacterial small subunit ribosomal RNA", at positions 208 to 1216 of the family's 1533-position model. The record is from RNAcentral. Lineage: Bacteria; Bacillati; Bacillota; Bacilli; Caryophanales; Bacillaceae.
CGGUUUCGGCUGUCACUUACAGAUGGGCCCGCGGCGCAUUAGCUAGUUGGUGAGGUAACGGCUCACCAAGGCGACGAUGCGUAGCCGACCUGAGAGGGUGAUCGGCCACACUGGGACUGAGACACGGCCCAGACUCCUACGGGAGGCAGCAGUAGGGAAUCUUCCGCAAUGGACGAAAGUCUGACGGAGCAACGCCGCGUGAGCGAUGAAGGCCUUCGGGUCGUAAAGCUCUGUUGUCAGGGAAGAACAAGUAUCGGAGUAACUGCCGGUACCUUGACGGUACCUGACCAGAAAGCCACGGCUAACUACGUGCCAGCAGCCGCGGUAAUACGUAGGUGGCAAGCGUUGUCCGGAAUUAUUGGGCGUAAAGCGCGCGCAGGCGGUUCCUUAAGUCUGAUGUGAAAGCCCCCGGCUCAACCGGGGAGGGUCAUUGGAAACUGGGGAACUUGAGUGCAGAAGAGGAGAGCGGAAUUCCACGUGUAGCGGUGAAAUGCGUAGAGAUGUGGAGGAACACCAGUGGCGAAGGCGGCUCUCUGGUCUGUAACUGACGCUGAGGCGCGAAAGCGUGGGGAGCGAACAGGAUUAGAUACCCUGGUAGUCCACGCCGUAAACGAUGAGUGCUAAGUGUUAGAGGGUUUCCGCCCUUUAGUGCUGCAGCAAACGCAUUAAGCACUCCGCCUGGGGAGUACGGCCGCAAGGCUGAAACUCAAAGGAAUUGACGGGGGCCCGCACAAGCGGUGGAGCAUGUGGUUUAAUUCGAAGCAACGCGAAGAACCUUACCAGGUCUUGACAUCCUCUGACAACCCUAGAGAUAGGGCGUUCCCCUUCGGGGGACAGAGUGACAGGUGGUGCAUGGUUGUCGUCAGCUCGUGUCGUGAGAUGUUGGGUUAAGUCCCGCAACGAGCGCAACCCUUGAUCUUAGUUGCCAGCAUUCAGUUGGGCACUCUAAGGUGACUGCCGGUGACAAACCGGAGGAAGGUGGGGAUGACGUCAAAUCAUCAUGCCCCUUAUGACCUGGGCUA